UCCGUUUUCACUGCUCGAGCCUCCAAAUUACAUAAAACUUUAAAUCUAACCUCAGAAAAAUAGUUUUGACAAAUUUUCAAAUUUUCAGAAUUUUUCGCUACUGUCAAUUUUCCAGCUGCAGCAUAAGCCCUGUUCCUAUUAAAAAAUUCCAACUCUUCUUUUUUAUUCCAAUUUCACCACAAAUCACUUCAGAAUUAUCAUUUUACUCUACAUGCAAUAAAAAUAGUAUUUCAUACUAUUUUUAUUUACACUUGCUUCUAUAUUAAAAAAAUCUGGUAUACUACAUAGAGGAUGUCGGGGAGGUACAGAGAGGAUGUCGGGGAGGCAGUGUUCAGUGGUUGGGAGUGGUGACGGCAAUGGAUUACUCAGAUGCAGCUGAGGGAGCUUUUUCUUCUUCUCUUGCCAGAUCUAGGUUUGGGAGGACCUCGGGACGAUGGGGCGGUGCCGGAGGGGGUUGCCGGAGGUUAGGGAGGCCGGUGGCAGUGGUUGGGUCUGAUGCGGCCAGAGGGAGAAAGAAAGAGAGGUUGGUCGAAAUAGGGUCACCGGAGAUUGGGGAUGUGCCGACGACGCUCAGGAGGGGAUGGGUGGCGGCUAGGGUGAGGAGAGGGAGAGAGAUGAGAGAAAGGGAUUAUAAACCGUAGAUUCCACAUUUUAUACUUUUGUUACAAUUGCGAUUUCGUCCUCCAGGUAUUCAGUUUCUUGCUCAAAACUCCCUGGAAUGUGUAUCUUACAAAGUACUAUGUCUAUUGAAAAUUCUUGCAAUUUGGCACAUAUAAUGUCGCAUUUUUUUAUAGAAGAACCCUUUUUUAUCGGUUGCUCUUUCGCCAUUUUCCUUUCCAAACCACACUUUUAUCGUGCGAAAUCGUAGUAAGGUCCCUCACAUGAUUUACAGCACUAACAGACCUUGAAAAUAACGAUUUUGUUUUAUUGAAAACUAUAAAAUUGCACAGUAAUCCCCAACAUUUCAAAAUUUUAUUUAAUAAAACUUGGUUUCUACAUUUUAUUGAAGGUGCAGUGCAGAACAAAGAAUGUAUACCAGGCGUUAGGUUUCUUAUCUUAAAGAAAUUUUUAGCUUGGAUGUCUAUUUCAUAUUUCACGCCAAAUCUAGUUGUUAAUUUUUGCUUGAAGAGAUGGGGUUAAUGUUUUCUGGUUCAUAUUAUACAUUUAGCAUUUGAUGUUCUCCUGCUCAUAUGCACUGAUCUGUUUUCGUUGAACUUACUUCUUUCGCCUCCUUUUAUUAGUCGUCUUGCUUGUUUCCCUGGAAUGCCUAAUGUGGCAAGUGGCUGGUUGGUUUAUGAACAAACUUCUGCCAUCAAAAUUCUCAUUUUCAAUGUCCCAGAUUAUGUUGAUUAGUCUUACUUUCCACAUGAUGAAGUACACUGUUUUUUCCAGGGAUAUCACAUUCUGCAAAAGGGUAUUGUAUGAUAUCGGUGCUCGAAACAAUGAAAACUUAUUCAGCAGAAGAAGGCCUUACGGAAGAAGCAAUAGUUACGAAGCUUCGUACUUGCCGAUAUCAUCUUUUAUUCCUGCAUUCCUCUUUGCGGCAUAAUAUUUCAGGUUUGGACACUUUCUGACACGGGAAACCAACUUUUUCUGUGAGGUAUUUCUUAUUAUUCUUUGACAGAUGCUUGUGCCCUAACAAUAUUGUAUGUUGAUCUAGGAUGGGAUCCAGUUAGGAUAAAUGCCAUAUUAUAAUUGGACAAGCAUUAGCUUCUAAGAAUCCUAGGAUUAGCAGGAGAAGGGCUAAAUAGAAGUGUUAAUUUAGUAAAAUGCAGAGUGGAGUGAGGUUGUGUAGAACUUGGAAGCAGAGAUCCCUAAAACGAGACACUUUUGGUAGCUUGGUUCAAUACCAAUUGACAUCGUUUUUUAACAUGAUGUUGGCUAUAGAACCAAGAAACGAUGAUGAAGUUGUAGAAAUGUAUUGAGUCUUGGGCAAUGGACAAAUACCUAUAGUGCUGCUAGGGUAUAUUGUUAAUGUUUGUUGAUGUCCUGCUAUAGUUUGUUGUAAUGUUUAUUUGGCUAUUAGGAAACAAUAUGCUGUGGGAAGUGAGAAUUUUGUGACUUAUCUGGACUCUCAAAAAAUGUUUGAAUAUGAAAAAUGUAGUUUGUUGGGUUUUGUAGCAUCAUUUGCAAAAUAUGCCUAAUGUAGGACAAAUUAGGUUUUGUCUAACUGGUUGUGCACAGGUGACUUUCUGGGUGGGCUUUGAUUAAUUUAAAAUAAAUUUGGAAAAUAAGAUUUGUAGUAGAAGCAAAGAAGAAGCAUUGAGUAAUUCAUAUACAAAGAUCACGUGCAAAUGUAGACAAAGAAAUAGAAGACUAAGAGAAAGUUUUUUUUUUUUUGUUUAAUAUCCUGUUAUGAUUGGAUGUUGACAUCAAUUGAGAGGUCUUUGAGAUUCUCCUCCCUAGUGUUUUGGGAAGUACACAGGAACUUGUAGAUCUCAAAAGUCGUUCGUGAGAAGAGACUGGGGAGAAAGACAGGGUAGAGGAAUAUCAAGGCAAUUCUUUACUCUGAGCCAAACUUUUCUUAUUUCCAAAAUAGCCUAAAAAUACGUGAACCCUAGGCUAUAAUUAUAGUCUUCAAACAUAAUACAAGUAGGAGGAGACAAAUUUAUUUAAAACUGAAAAUUUUCUAAAAUUCUAAUCAGACUAGAAUUAGACCAAAAUUAAUGUAACCUAAUUGAAACUAACCUAACUGAACACAAAUUGAACUUGGUAGAUAAAAUUGGCUCAAACAAAACUAAAUAAUUUUCUAAUUAACACUAUGUCGCGAGAUUAAAAAGUGUGUUUUAUAAUUUCAUGCUUUAUGCUCUUGACGACCCCUUUUUGGGGUGAGGUGGUAGUUUUCGUAUUGUGCUGCAUCAAAUUUCUUCAGCUAAGUUUGAUAAUAGUUCGGGUAUGGUCCAAGAAUUCCAUCAUCAGUAGAGAAAAUAGUAUGUUGUAGCAAUAGGCUUAUCUUAUUGAACUUGACUGCAUUAGUAGAUUCGGUGGACAUAUAUGUCAACUCAAUUCCCUUGUGAUCAAAAGUAUAUGUAUUCUUAUAUCUUUUGUUGUGCACUCUAUCAUGAGCUGAACACUGGCGAGCUGGGGCCAGCUUGUGUUCGGCUCGACUCCUUAAUGAGCAAAACAUGAGCUAACUCGAAUAAAUUACGAGCCGAUCGUGAGUUGGGCUUUUCGCGCUCGUCAUGAGCUCGAGCUGAACAUGAGCCAUUGGUGCGUCCAACUUCUUGGCCCUUGGUUCCACAUGCCUUGAGCAUAGAUUGGUUGACACCGCAUUGUUUUGUUAAAAAAAAACACAUUUUCAGCUAAAGGAACGAGGUAAUAAAAAUUUUAAUUUUUAAAGAAAAACUUGAUUGAAUCAUGACGCCUACAUGAAAAAAAAAAUCAAAGAUCACCUCGUAUUUCAUUCUAGAUCUGAUCUAUUGAUCUAAUCAGAGAGGAUAAAAAAUUUGCACCCUUGCACGGGUUGAGAACACUAUGAAAGAGACAAUUGAUGUGGUAGAUCUAUUCGUUUUCCACAGCUGCGCAGUUGGGCCUCUACUUGCUUCCACACAGAAUAAUGAUCAAGAUAGGGCCGUGGCGCCUUGCGAUACGAUCAUGAUUUGGCGAUUUUUGUCGAUUCAAUGGAGAUGGAUCAACCUUUUAGGAUGUGCUAGCAGACUUUGAAGGUUGAUAAUGGUGGAUUUAUGGUGGAGAACUUGAGGAGGAAGAAGAGGGCUACAUUGCUAGCGUUUUCUAGAAACUAUAACUGCUCACUUUUCAAAAAAAACCUUGUGAGAUAUUUAUAGUAAAAGCCCUAAACCUUCCACCAAUCAGAGAAGGGGGGGGCGGGGAGCCCACCCUUUAGGAUUCCUAUUUCGUUUUUUCUUUGCGUGGCGCUGGUUCAAUAUUAUUAGAUGCCCGCUAAUACUUUUUGGCUGGUUUUCUUUUAAGUUUGAAUCGAAUGACAUCUGAGUCACGUGUAACUGUUACAUGUAAGUCCAUGUUAUUGGCUAGCAGCUAGUAAAUACCACCCUGCAACUUUUGCAUUUUAAGACUUCUAAAUUACAACUUCUGGAAAUUAUCCCUCUGCUAAUAACUUAGUAUUCCAGUUAUCUAGCAAUACCAAAUUUGCAUUCAAACCAUCUGAUAAACUCCUUUAUUGUCUCCAUAACCUCAAUCACACGCGAACUCUUAUAUGUGUGACCUCAUAGGCUCUAUUAUGUCUGAUAGUGAGCUACAAUUUGAUCUCUAGCUACAUCAUCUUUCGAUGGAUCGAAACUCUUUCCAAUUCUACCCUUACAGAAUAAUUGAUUGUCUAUAUUAUUUUCGUGGUUCCUAUAAUACACCAGUGAUGCCUAACAAUAUGCAGUGGCAAUCCAAUCAGAAAUGAAUAUCGAACUGAACUUCUAGUUGCAGUUACCUAACACAAUCUUUCCAUCGCAUAGUCCGACCAAGUGGAGGUUAUCGAAUAUUCGUCAAACCCAAUCACUUGUCAUAUGACAAGUCUAAUAGGAUAGACGCUUUUAUGGUUUCUUUUGGAAACUCCUUUCCAUAUACCAUGUAUCCCUGGCCUAGGAUUUCUAAGCCUUGCGCCCUUCCUUACAUAUAGCAUAGGACUAAUAAUCUCUCUAUCCAGAGCGGUAGGUUCCCUAUGGCUUUGUUUGGUUCGGGUGUAAGUAAGAACUGCCUUAUUCCAGGGAUAGGUACAAGUUCAGGUAUAAGCGAGAACUAGAGGAAUUUUGCGGGACUUAUUUUAUAAAACAAUCCUCUAUAAUUUUAAAAUUUGUAAAAUAACCCUCUCAAAAUUAUAGGGUAAAUUACAUUGUUACCCCCUGAACUUUUGGCGAAGUUUUACUUUACCCCUCGAACUCCUAAAAUGGACAUCUAACACCCCAAACUCUAAUAUUUCAUUCAUGUUACCCCUUUCGUCAGUUUUUCGUCAAGCUCUGUUAACUGGAAACUGAUGGAAGGGGUAAAACGAAUGAAAUAUUAGAGUUUAGGAUGUUAGAUGCCUAUUUUAGGAGUUUGGGGGGUUAAGUGAAACUCGCCAAAAGUUCAAGAGGUAGCAGUGCAAUUUAACCAUAAUUUAUCCUACAUUUUAUUAUAAUAAAAUGAAAGGGAGAGAAAUGAAUUAGAGUGGCUUAAAGAUAAGAAAAGAGCUAUACUAACUACCUACGAUACUCGAACACUCUACUGUCUUGGUGUACUUGUUAAUAUGGUUGAUUUACAAUAGGUGUCCUCACUCGGAUAUAGAGAUUUUAAUUCUCAGCUAAUUUUCUGUAGUGCUCGUUUGUCCCUUUUAUCUUUAGAAGCAUUGUUCUAAAGUAUUUGUAGAACGCAGCGGAAGUAUUCGUUCGUACCUUUUUGCGGAAGCGAUUCGCGGUACAACGCGAUGAGCCCGGAUCGUAGAGGUUGAUUCACGUGUCCUUUGAUCGCCCUUUAAGGUCUUCUAACGCUCCGAACCCGCGGUGGAUCGAACUACAAACGAGCACGAUCGCAAAUCCACCGUUCAAGUCCCUUUAGAAUAAUAGGUUAAUGGAGGAUGUGGUUUUUCUUUUUUGUUUUCUUAAUUCUCUUUCUUUUUCCGUUCUUCUUAUUUUAUGUGGGAUCGCCUGUAUAUUUAUAAGGGAUUCCAAAAUCCUAAUAACAUAAGAGAUAAGGCCAAAUCGGUUAUUUAUUGUUAUCCUAAUAUGAUUAGGAUUUAUCUCUAAUUAGCUUUCCAAUUUAAAAGCGAGAUUAAUCCUAAUCCAAUUAGAUAACGUAAUAACCAUCUGAUCGAGCCCAAUCAUGGGCGCACCCGAUUCGUUUUAACCGAAUGCCAACAGUAUUAUAAAAUAUUAUUUUAUAUUUUUAUAUUAAAAUUUUCUAAUUGGCUGAAAUGAAGUACAAUUUUAGGUUAAAAUAAAAUUAAAUUGCAGAGUUUCAUAGGAAAUAAGUGCAUUUUCUAGAAUAAUGCUUCUAAAGAUAAAAGGGACAAACGAGUACUACAGAAAAUUAACUGAGAAUUAAAAUCUCUAUAUCCGAGUGAGGACACUUAUUGUAAAUCAACCAUAUUAGCGAGUACACCAGGACAGUAGUGUGUUUGAGCAUCAUAGGUGGUUAGUAUCGCUCUUUUCUUAUCUUUAAGCUACUCUAAUUCAUUUCUUUCGCUUUUAUUUUAUUACAAUAAAAUGCACGAUAAAUUAUGGUAUAAUUUAUUUUAGGAUAAAAAAUAUAUAUAAAUUCAAAAUCAAGCAUAAUCACUAACUUGAGGGUUAGUAGUCAAUCCAUAAGUAACAUAUUAUAAUAAAAUAAUUUAUAGUCAAGAGUCCUACAGGGUAAAUUGCACUGCUACCUCCUGAACUUUUGGCGGGUUUCACUUAACCCCUAAACUCCUAAAAUAGACAUCUAACACCCUAAACUCUAAUAUUUCAUUCGUUUUACUCCUUCCGUCAGUUUUCGGUUAACGGAGCUUGACGGGAAACUGACGGAAAGGGUAAUAUGAAUGAAAUAUUAGAGUUUAGGGUGUUAGAUGUCCAUUUUAGGAGUUCGAGGGGUAAAGUGAAACUUCGCCAAAAGUUCAGGGGGGUAACAAUGCAAUUUACCCCAAAGUUAUAUUUGUAAAACUAAUCCUCCUUUUACCACGUAGGUGGGAGGGCGAAUAUUUUUUAUGAAAGCGGUGAAUCGUUCACCGCCUUUCUAAUUUUCCACAAAGGCGGUGAAUGAUUCACCACCUUUCGCUUAUUUACUGUUUUUUUUUUUUUAUAUCCCAUAUAUAAUCCUAACAACCAUAUAAAAAUUUUAACAAAUUACAUAUAAUCUUAACAACCUGAAAAUUCUAAUAAUUUAUCUAUAUAAUUUCAUAUAACCUUAACAGCCUGAAAAUCCUAAUAGUCUAUCCAUACAAUUUAAUAUAAUCUUAACAAUCUGAAAAUUCUAAUAAUCUAUCUAUACAAUUUUAUAUAAUCUUAACAGUCUGAAAAUCCUAAGAAUCUAUCCAUACAAUUUAAUAUAAUCUUAACAGCUUGAAAAUCCUAAUAAUAUAUCCAUACAAUCCUAACAAUCAAAUAAAAAUUCUAAUGAUCCACAUAUAAUCCUAACAAUCUCACUUUUUUCUAUUUCCUAUAUAAUUCAUGGACAAUUUUAGUAAAUGCGGCGAACAAUUCACCGCCUUUAAAAGAAAUGAGAGAAAACGGUGAAUGAUUCACUGCCUUUAAAAGAAAUAAGUGAAAGCACUGAAUGAUUCACCGCCUUUAAAAGAAAUUAGAGAACGCGACAAACGAUUCACCGCCUUUAAAAGAUAUGGGAGAAAAUCCCACGUGGCUCCUACAUGGCGAAAAGAGGGUUAGUUUGCCAAAUAUAAAUUUGGCAGGGUUAUUUCGUAAAUUAUAAAAUUUUAGAGGGUUAUUUUAUAAAAAAGUCCAAUUUUGCGUUUGGAUGAAAAUUAGGGUGUUCCCGGGAAUAAGAAAAAUAGCGUUUGGAUAGAUAAGAUAGAAUAAGAAGAAUAAUGGAUAGUAAAUUGAAAAUAAUGAUAUUACCCUCUCAUUAUAUUUGACUUUUAAAUUUUUAAAUUUUGCGUUUAUAAUUUUAAAUUUAAAUUUGAAAUUUGAAAUUAAAAUUUAAAAUUUAAAAUUUAAAAUUUUUAAUUUUAAGAAUUUCAAUUUUAAAUUUAAGACCAAAUUUAAAUUUGAAAGAUAUAAAAUAUCAAAUUUAAAAAUUAAAAAAAUCAAAAUUAAAAUUUAAACUUUAAAAUUUGAAUUUUUAAAUUAUAAAUUUUAAUUUUAAAAUUACAAAUUUUAAAUUUUAAAAAUUUAAAUUGUAAUUUAAAACAUAGUUCUCUCUCUUUCUUUCUCUCUUUCUCUCUCUCUACCAGGGGAACAAGGGGUGGGAACAAUUUCCACCCUAUAUCGGGUUAUACCGGACCCAACUCUUGUUGGGUACAAGAGGGGGGGAUAAGACCUUACCCCUCUCUUGUACCCAAUCCAAACGGUGUGUAUAGGCACACACUCAUUUCUAAUAUGAACCUGCUGCGGGUAGUGUACCUGUUAAGACCCGUGGUUAGAAUUAGUGCUUAUGGCACAGUCAAACUACAAUAGUUGAACAAUCAUGGUGUCUCAUAUCUUAAGGAUUAGUCAUACAAUUGCAACAUCAAACCAAUGAUUUGACGAGUAGACAUUCAUAUAACUGUUCGUAGUGAGUCACGCUCAACAUGUUUGUUUUUUUAACAACCACCUACAUGUUUGCUCCAGUGUCACCAAACUAAUGACUCAAGACUUGUCAUCCCAAAAGGAAAGCGGACACAUACACUAAUCUAACAAGAUCAAUCAUCGUUUCCAUAAUGAUACACUGAUUGGGAGCAUUUGGAAAUUAAUCAUUAAUAAUGUGUCUCAAGUUCUCGAUUCUUGAGAAUACACAUCAUUGUCUUAUUAAUUUCUCGAAUAAGUCAUGAACACAUUAAACGUGAAUGGAAAAAAAUAGCUCAAAUAAUAUAAAUAAUCAAGAUCAAGUGCAAAAUAUCCAAUAAAAAAUGUGCUCAAAUAAUAGCUCAAAUAAUAUAAAAUAUGUGCCAGCCCAAUUGGCUUCUAGGGCAUACAACUAACAUAGUCAACUUCUUUUUUGUACUCGUCCUCUUCUGUUUUAUUUUUACGGAGGUUUUAAGUGCCUGUCGGCACGGGCCGUAUCCACCAUGCCGUACCGUGCCAACAAGAUACCGGCACGAUACAGACCCCGUGCCAAUGGCAUAGCUCAAAACCCUCUAUUCUUCAAAUUAGUAAGUAAUUUCCUCAAUAAAGUUCAAAAGAUGUGAUAGAAAGACAUAAUAAAUAGUUAGAAUAUUUUGUUGCUAAAGAAAAUAAAUAUUUCAUGCUAUUAUGUGUUAGCACACAAGAGUUUUUUUGACUAGCACGCAUCGGCACGGCUCUGCACGUACCGUGCCGUACCGUGCCGGCAAGUUUCCGGCACGACUCCAUGCCACGGCACUUAAAUCCUUGUUUUUACUUUUAUCAAAUACUAGUUCAUCGUCUAGCUCUACUUUUUGGAGCAUAGGUCACGAACAAAUUCUAUUUUAGGCGAGGCCUGGUUUGUCACAUUAAAAACAUCGGCCUGGUUUGUUACAUUAAAAACAUCGGCCUUCUAAACUCUCCUUUGUCGGAUUACUAGUUAAUGGUUUGGAGUAGGUCGACGGGCUCGAUGCUGUAGGCUUUGAUUUCUCAAGAGUUAUGAAAUGGCGCCUUUUCUUGUGUUGAAGCUAUGUUAUGGUGCUGAUGGUGGCGGCUUCUAUUGUUCUUCUAUUUGAUGUGCUGCGUGAACCCCAUUGACUAUAGAAAAUAAUCUAGUAUUCAUGGCGCCAAUUUCGGACUUAAGUCUGGUGUUGUAUUUUAAUCAGCAGAUUCUCAUUCCAAAAAAUUCAAAUCAUGUCGCGUAAUUAUAGAAUUGUGCAAUGUGCUUUUCUAUGGUUUUGGAACCCUUGGUUGGUAGAGUCAAUUGUAAUUGAACAUAUUGACGAUAGUCAUAUGGAAUACAGUGUUGAGACCUUGUUCGCUUCUAUCCUUCCAUGUUUGUGUAGCCGUAUAAUGAUGCUGCUGUUCUUUAGAUCACAAAAUCUUGACUAUGUGUAAAAAUAAAAUAUUUUGUAUGGAACGGUAUUGUAAGUAAGGUUAUAGUCAUUACCUUCUGCUUUAUUUGAUUUAGCUGUACAUGUAAAUAAGAUAUGAUCUGAAAGAACUAGACAUGAAUAGGAGUUAGAUUAUUGUAUUGGCAUAAAAUAGUGCAUGCCAACAUUCCUGAUGCUAUUCAUCUUAAUUGUAUGGUGGUAAAAAUGUAUAGAACUUUCCUCAACUGUCUUCCAUUUUGAUCUGACUACCUGAUCUUUGAAAAUUUAGAUUUUGCUAUGUAACCUUUCAAUUUAUUUAAUUUAAGUCAGUUAAUGACUCUUUGACUUCAAAAUUUGUAUGAGUUGUUUUUUUGUACAGGUUCAAUUAGUAUAUUUUAUGCAGUUCAUGCAACUAUAAUUUCAACAAUCGGCUUAAAUUUUGUAUUGGAAGAGCUAUCAAAUGACUUAAAUCAAACAAAUUGGAGGGUUUGGUAUUAAAAUCAAAAUUUUGAAAGGUUGUCUAGUCAAAUCACAAUGGUUUAUAGUUCAGGUAAGUUUUAUACAUUCUUACCUUGCAAGGUACCAAAAAUGUAAUAAAUUUCUGAACAUUUUGGAACUACAGAUAAAGUGCUAAUAUUGUUCAAUCAAGAUAAACCUAUGCCUAUCUUCUCCCAGUUAGAAGAAUUACAGUUGAGAGGCCUAUUUUACAUUUUUACCAAUUACUAGUGUAAAGUUACAUCAACCUAUGCUGAUCUUGUCGAGUACAUGUUUUCCUAUUGUCCAUCUUCUGAUUCUUCCCAUAAUAUUGCUAUAACUAAUAAUUAAUAUUAAAAUGAACAAAACACUUCUAUUAACAAGUAUUGUCUUUUUCUAAAAUCUACCUAUGUAUAGCAUGACAUGAGAAAAUCUCAUUACUAAAAUUUAAUUACACAUUUCUUCAAACCUUCAUUUGCUUAGCUUACGGACAUGCAAGACAUGGAAAGACAACAACCAGUAACUAAGACAGAAAUAUUGAUCUGACUUUUUUCUUU
This 10581-nucleotide long non-coding RNA is filed under the name Ananas comosus (pineapple). RNAcentral's name for it is "long non-coding RNA (ACOM_LNC005501)". The record is from RNAcentral. Lineage: Eukaryota; Viridiplantae; Streptophyta; Magnoliopsida; Poales; Bromeliaceae.